UGUACUGCAAUUCAUGUGACCACAAGAGCAAACAUGGCGGAAGUAGACGCGACGAAGUCUCUGAGCGGCUUGUUAAAUGGAAUCGCGCAGAAAGUGUAUUACAACAACAGCGAGAUCACAGAGGAGCUGCUGAGAAGCGAACUCUACCCCGAGAUGUCGCCGGACGAGUUCACAGCUUUGCACGACAAAAUGAAAGGCCUUUUAAAGUCCAUCGCCACAGCAGACAUGGACCAUGCCCAGCUGGAGGCCUUCCUCACAGCUCAGACCAAGAAACAAGGUGGUGGUGGCUUGAGCGCUGAACAGGCCGCUGCGCUCUCUCGUUUCUGGAAAAGCCAACGAGUUCGAGUUAAGGAAAGCUUGGUGGCUCAUAGCCGCUGGGAGCCCAGCCUCAGGGGCCUUUCCUGGAGGGUGGAUCUCCAGACUGCAGCCAGCCGACGGGGAACAGCUCACAGCGGCCUAGUUGCCCUGGUUGAGCUCGAGCUUGGCAGAACAGGACAAGUCCCCAAGCUCAGAGAAAGCAGAUCAGCAGACCAGAGCGGCCCAUACUCUCAAUGUGCACAAUGCCACUGAACUACUGUUCAGCACUAUUAUUGCCCUAUUCAAGUCGAUUUAAAUGUAGCAAAUAAAAGCUCAAAGGCUGAAGAAGUAGGUGGAGGAGACUGGUAACUGGUAAAAUGAAUUGCUAAAGUGUCUUUCAAGUCUUGAAUCCCAGAAAAGGCCUAAUGGACUCAGAGUUUGUGUGUCUGGAGUUUGAUGAAACCAAAGUCAAUCAAGUGUUGAAGAAGAUGGCUGACAUUCAGGAGAGCAUCGACAGAAUUGUUCACAGUACCUGAAAGUACUUCCUGAAAGUUUAUCUCAAACAGCAGAGACAGAAAGAUAACUGUGACUAAGAGUCCAAUGUUGAGGCAUAGUUUUUCCACUUGCUCACAGAUUUACCAGAAAUGAAAGUGGUGUGUACGUGUACAGAUAUACACACCACUAUCCAUUCUAGUAGACAAUACUUGUGGUCAUCCUCUGAGAAUAAGUGGUCAUUAAAGAAGAACUAUUCCUCUCUUUGCAAUAUAGUUUCCAAAGCUUUGGGAUUCUGGGAUUAUGAGAAAUAAGAAAUGUGAUGAAUCUAAAGUGAAAAAAAGCAAUGUAUUACAAUAUAAUUGUAGAUAUUGUAAAACUAAAUAAAAAGUAUCUGUUAAAGGAUUUUUAUAUGUAUUCUGCUUUAUUGUAGUUAAAAAACCCCUAGUUGUUUAGCUUCAUUUAAAUCUCCUAUUUCACUGUGUUUCAUGACAAAGCUUGCAUGAGGGAAUACCACAGGUGCCUCCACCCUUGCUGAGAUAAGCUUGACUGGUUACUAUUUUUAACAGUUUGAGAAUGUUUCAUGCUUAUCACCUUGUAAGGAGUUGUUUUACACACAAGGGGCGCCGACCCGACAUAUUUUAGGAAGGAGCAGUGUAUAAAUACAGAGGGAACUGAUGUCUCAGUGUGAGUCUCCACUGAGAUCACCCAUGUAUAUACAUGUUUGAGUUGUGCCUUUCUUUGCUUGCUGAAACAAUUCUUUGACAUAAUUUUUGGUCCUCCGAGCCGGAGAGGAAAUAACAACUGUUUUGUUGUGACUCCAAAGCAGAGAUCUACACUGAUUCCCGACGCCGUGGGGAGCCCGCACUGAAGUCUGUCGACAGCCCUCUCUAGGUAGAGGUGAAAGCCCAAGAGCGUAAAAAAUUCGGAUCUUGGCCAGUGUUUUUAUCAGCGGUCCACGGCGGUGGGAUUCAGUGGAACGAUCUAACGAAACCGGCUGCAACGACGUUUCAGUAAGGUAAAGAAAUUCACUCGUAUACACUCGCGUAAAAAAAA
This is an RNA transcript of Oreochromis niloticus (Nile tilapia), 1845 nucleotides long. It is a transcript of the gene named copper metabolism (Murr1) domain containing 1, with no coding region annotated. The record is from RefSeq and is a predicted model, not a curated record. Lineage: Eukaryota; Metazoa; Chordata; Actinopteri; Cichliformes; Cichlidae. The transcript is spliced from 4 exons.